AUUAUUAAGAGUUUGAUCCUGGCUCAGGAUGAACGCUAGCGGUAUGCUUAACACAUGCAAGUCGUACGGAAAAGUAAUUUUUAGUGGCGAAC
RNAcentral lists this ribosomal RNA (92 nucleotides) under Oceanospirillales bacterium TMED59. RNAcentral's name for it is "partial 16S ribosomal RNA". It matches the Rfam family "Bacterial small subunit ribosomal RNA", at positions 1 to 103 of the family's 1533-position model. The record is from RNAcentral. Lineage: Bacteria; Pseudomonadati; Pseudomonadota; Gammaproteobacteria; Oceanospirillales.